GUCGGAGCGCGGCUCAGCGGCGCGGCGGAGACUCGGCACGGCGGCGGCCAGGCGCAGGCGGGCGGGCGGAGCAGCGGACGGCGCCGAGGCCGCCCCACGCGCCGGGCUCGCGGCGGCGCAGCGCGCCGGAGUGGUCGGGGCCCGCGGCCGCUCGCGCCUCUCGAUGGGCAGCUCGCACUUGCUCAACAAGGGCCUGCCGCUUGGUCCUGAACGAGGCUGUGGGGGCCCUGAUGUACCACACCAUCACGCUCACCAGGGAGGACCUGGAGAAGUUCAAAGCCCUCCGCAUCAUCGUCCGGAUUGGCAGUGGUUUUGACAACAUCGACAUCAAGUCGGCCGGGGAUUUAGGCAUCGCCGUCUGCAACGUGCCUGCAGCGUCUGUGGAGGAGACGGCCGACUCGACGCUGUGCCACAUCCUGAACCUGUACCGGCGGGCCACCUGGCUGCACCAGGCGCUGCGGGAGGGCACACGAGUCCAGAGCGUCGAGCAGAUCCGCGAGGUGGCGUCCGGCGCCGCCAGGAUCCGCGGGGAGACCUUGGGCAUCAUCGGACUUGGUGCGUCGG
This 564-nucleotide small RNA is filed under the name Pan troglodytes (chimpanzee). RNAcentral describes it as "processed transcript". Lineage: Eukaryota; Metazoa; Chordata; Mammalia; Primates; Hominidae. The record is from RNAcentral.